RNAcentral lists this ribosomal RNA (588 nucleotides) under Moesziomyces aphidis. RNAcentral describes it as "partial large subunit ribosomal RNA". It matches the Rfam family "Eukaryotic large subunit ribosomal RNA", at positions 83 to 653 of the family's 3401-position model. Lineage: Eukaryota; Fungi; Basidiomycota; Ustilaginomycetes; Ustilaginales; Ustilaginaceae. The record is from RNAcentral.
GUACGGCGAGUGAAGAGGGAAGAGCCCAAGAUUGAAAGCUGGCGUCUUCGGCGUCCGCAUUGUAAUCUCAAGAAGUGUUUUCCGCUUCGGACCAAGCCUAAGUCCCUUGGAAAAGGGCAUCAUAGAGGGUGAUAAUCCCGUACAUGGCUUGGAGCGCCCGAAGCUUUGUGAUACGCUUUCUAAGAGUCGAGUUGUUUGGGAAUGCAGCUCAAAAUGGGUGGUAAAUGCCAUCUAAGGCUAAAUAUUGGGGAGAGACCGAUAGCGAACAAGUACAGUGAUGGAAAGAUGAAAAGAACUUUGAAAAGAGAGUUAAACAGUACGUGAAAUUGCCAAAAGGGAAGGGUAGGAGGUCAGAGAUGCGGCCUGGGAUUCAGCCUUGCUUUUGCUUGGUGUUUUUCCCAGAUUGCAGGCCAACGUCGGUUUUGGGCACUGGAGAAGGGUAGGAGGAACGUGGCACCUCUCGGGGUGUGUUAUAGCCUCCUACUGGAUACAGCGACCGAGACCGAGGACAGCAGCGUACUCGCAAGAGCGGGCCUUCGGGCACCUUUACGCUUAGGGCGUUGGCAUAAUGGCCCUCUACCACCCGUC